RNAcentral lists this ribosomal RNA (440 nucleotides) under Stridulivelia sp. JD-2008. RNAcentral describes it as "partial 16S ribosomal RNA". Lineage: Eukaryota; Metazoa; Arthropoda; Insecta; Hemiptera; Veliidae. The record is from RNAcentral.
GGUUUUUUGAUUGUUAAUAUAAAAUUGAGCCUGCCCAUUGAUUUUAAUUAUUAAAAGGCUGCGGUAUUUUAACUGUACUAAGGUAGCAUAAUCAUUUGUCUUUUAAUUGGAGGCUAGUAUGAAUGGUUUGAUGAAAAAUUAACUUUCUUUAUAUAAUUUAAUUUAAUUUAAUUUUUUAGUUAAAAAGCUAAAAUUUUUUUAUAGGACGAGAAGACCCUAUAGAAAUUAAUUUUUUUUAAGAAUUUUUAUUUUUGGUUUUUGUAAUAAAUUUUUUGAAUGAGGAAUUUUGUUGGGGUGAUGAUAAAAUAUAAUAAACUUUUAUUUUUUUUUUCAUUUAUUUAUGUUAUUUUGAUCCAUAUUUUAUGAUUAUAAGUUUAAUUUACCUUAGGGAUAACAGCGUAAUUUUUUCGGAGAGUUCUUAUUGAUGAGAAAGUUUGCGA